RNAcentral lists this ribosomal RNA (253 nucleotides) under uncultured bacterium. RNAcentral's name for it is "partial 16S ribosomal RNA". It matches the Rfam family "Bacterial small subunit ribosomal RNA", at positions 524 to 776 of the family's 1533-position model. The record is from RNAcentral.
GACGAACCGUGCUAACGUUGUUCGGAUUCACUGGGCUUAAAGGGCGCGUAGGCGGGCCGCCAAGUCGAGGGUGAAAGCCCCCAGCUCAACUGGGGAAGGGCCCCCGAAACUGGUGGUCUUGAGGGAGGUAGGGGCACGUGGAACUUCCGGUGGAGCGGUGAAAUGCGUAGAGAUCGGAAGGAACGCCGGUGGCGAAAGCGACGUGCUGGAUCUUUUCUGACGCUGAGGCGCGAAAGCCAGGGGAGCAAACAGG